Donghicola sp. KarMa is the source of this 49-nucleotide regulatory RNA element. It matches the Rfam family "SAM/SAH riboswitch aptamer". The record is from Rfam. NCBI's taxonomy places the organism in Bacteria, Pseudomonadati, Pseudomonadota, Alphaproteobacteria, Rhodobacterales, Roseobacteraceae.
UUCCUGUCACAACGGCUUCCUGGCGUGACUAGCGACAUUUAAUGGAGCA